UACGGAGGGUCCAAGCGUUAUCCGGAAUUAUUGGGUUUAAAGGGUUCGUAGGCGGCUUGAUAAGUCAGGGGUGAAAUCCCGCAGCUUAACUGCGGAACUGCCUUUGAAACUGUCAGGCUUGAAUUCAAUUGGAGUGGGCGGAAUAAGUAAUGUAGCGGUGAAAUGCAUAGAUAUUACUUAGAACACCGAAAGCGAAGGCAGCUCACUAAGUUGACAUUGACGCUGAUGAACGAAAGCGUGGGUAGCGAACAGG
This 253-nucleotide ribosomal RNA is filed under the name uncultured bacterium. RNAcentral describes it as "partial 16S ribosomal RNA". It matches the Rfam family "Bacterial small subunit ribosomal RNA", at positions 524 to 776 of the family's 1533-position model. The record is from RNAcentral.